This 559-nucleotide long non-coding RNA is filed under the name Homo sapiens (human). Its description in RNAcentral is "long independently transcribed non-coding RNA 3011, transcript variant 3 (LINC03011)". Lineage: Eukaryota; Metazoa; Chordata; Mammalia; Primates; Hominidae. The record is from RNAcentral.
GGUAUUCCAGGAGAGCGCAUGCGCAGACGCAUGGCCACAGACUGCCGGUCAGUGUCAGCAGGCGGUGGGUUAGGGUCCGCAGGCCCAGACCAGGCCGCCGACACCAAUAAGCUACAAGGAGGAGCUUUACCGCUGCCUGUACUACUACUGCCUGCGCUACUUCCCAGCCUGCGGCGUAGGGCGCAGCAAGGGCCUGACGCUUAGCGAGCAGGCGCUGCGCACCAAGCGGCUGUCGCCUGGAGGGCACGUUCAGGCAGAAGCUCCUCAGUGGCCACAAGUCCGCUAGCUCCGGCUACAGCCCUUGCCGCACACUCGCGUCACCUGAGCCUGUGAUGCCGAAGGACCUGUUCAAAGUAUUUUCUGUAACUCCAACUGUAACUUGGUUCUAGGAGGAGAGAAUCCAUGUUUGGUCAACAGAACUUUUCGCCGCCACUUAAGUUUACUGCUUCAAUAUCUUUUCCUUACUAAUUGAUUGUUAAUUAAGUAGUGUCCAAGUGAGUUAGCCUUUUUAGGGUUGAUUAAUUAAAAGAGCAGCAAGAAUGGCAUUUUAAAAAAAAAA